UGAUUUUAAUUUUGAUUUUAAUUUUGACUUUAAUUUUGAUUUUUAAUUUAAUAAACAAAAAUAAGAAGAACAUGAAGAAUGUAUUGUCAAACAGAAUAUCCGGAUUAUUUGAAGAAGUAAGGAAGUAGAUGGAUGAAUAAAAGUUAGAACAAUGGUAUCUACAGUAUGACGGGGAAAAGAAAGAAGUUGUUGGAUUUGGGUAAGUUGUUUGACAUGGCAUGUUGGAUUAUGGGUAAGUUGUUCGAUAUGGCAUGUUGGAUAUGGGUAAGUUGUUCGAUAUGGAAUGUUGGAUUAUGGGUAAGUUGUUCGACAUGCCAUGCCCAAUUAUUUUUACAUUACGUAAAGUUGUUUGUUUGA
RNAcentral lists this long non-coding RNA (357 nucleotides) under Piliocolobus tephrosceles (Ugandan red Colobus). RNAcentral describes it as "lncRNA (ENSPTEG00000001766.1)". The record is from RNAcentral. Lineage: Eukaryota; Metazoa; Chordata; Mammalia; Primates; Cercopithecidae.